This is a long non-coding RNA of Dromaius novaehollandiae (emu), 2354 nucleotides long. RefSeq lists it as uncharacterized. The record is from RefSeq and is a predicted model, not a curated record. NCBI's taxonomy places the organism in Eukaryota, Metazoa, Chordata, Aves, Casuariiformes, Dromaiidae. The transcript has 2 exons.
UCUGCUUUAUCCAUGAAGCUGAAUUUGUCAAAUCACAUUCAUAUCCAUAGGAAUAGAUGCUCUCACAAAUGCAGAAUGAUGACUUUCACUGAAGGAGAAGGCAAAAAGAAGCAGCUGGGCUGUGAAGGAGAAUGUUAUUAAGAGGAACUUGACUGUCUGACAUUGCAAUAAUACAAACAAUGAUUGCUGCAAGGAAAUAGCUUUCCGCAAUCAUAUUUUCUCAUUGUAAGGUUACUGUACCAAGAAAGUCUCCUUUUCAAGGAGUUGGGCCUACUCCACACUUCUAUUUUGGCUGCUCAAGGUGGAAGCUAUACACUCUCAGUGAACCCUACACAAUAACUCAGUCUUCCCACACACUGACCCAAGUGACCACUGCAGAGUCCCUUCUGAGGUAACUUCCUCAGGUCAAAGGGUUUGCCAGGGUAGAGCAGAACAGGUAGGGGAUGAACUGCAGAGGACUGAAUUCUUCCUCAUUUAGGUAACACAUAGAUAAAUGCAUCUAAUGCUUUUUAAAACUGCAUUGUGACUGAGCACUUGCAUUUACCUUUGAAAGAAAUACUUUCAGCAGAUGUUUGAGGGGGCCUGUUCAGCGAAGGAGGAGUGGGCAAGAAACUGGAAUUAAUACAAGAACUUCUAGCUAGCCAUGAAAGAGACUAUUUGUCUGGCAGAGAUCAUUAAUCUUAGUGACCUGGUAUGAUUUGAUCAUACUUUAAGCAUUACCCUGUGGCCUGUGAAUGCCUUUUUUCCUUAAUGGUAACUUUUGAAUAACAAGGCAGGAGGGAAGACAACUGGAAGACCUAUGGUGGAAGCCAUAGGUGCAGUUUGAUCAUCAAGAUCAUACCUACCUACACCAGAUGCAAUAUUUGUCAACACUUAUCAUAUUUAUAACCUCUGCCACUUUACCUGAAGCAACAGAGACACUAUAGGAUAAACAAGCCAGGUAAGUAACCAAAGUUGAGGAUGGAUAUUAAGAAUGAUGAAAAAAAAUACUUGUACCAAAGCAAACCUUACCAAAAUGGAACUUUUCUUCUCUUUGAGGAUGUAAGAGGCCUUGAAGAUACUUCAGCUAAAAGGGUAGUACCAGGAAAUCUUGUUCAAGAAUCUGCAUUGUAAUGGAGAAGCUGCUCGCAAAUGAAGACUACUGGAAAUCAAACAGCCAUAUAUGGGAGAUAGAAGCCCCAUUAAGACUCACAAUGCUUUUCUACAAGGGUUUGUAGCAAAGAUUUGAGUAACGAAAGUUCACACAUGUCUGAACUAAACUGGUCUUUGCUAUAAACCUGCCCAUUACUGUGGUGGAGCAGAGCAAAGCUUAAAUAAUGCACAGGGAUUCCACAACUGUUCAGAAGAAAAAAAAGGAUACCAUGACCGAUCAACACAGCCCACGAGAAUGAAGCUGAAAACUGCAUCAUUUCAAAUUAUAAUUCAGUCAGGACAGCAGGACUAACCCCUGUCCUGAAAAGAAAACAAAAUGCAGUGGGCCAUGAUGAGUCCUCAGUAACAUAUCUAAAAUUUAAAUACACAAUAUGAAUUGCUUCAAUACUAUCUCAGAGUCUCAUGAGAAUAAAUCUACCCCUUACUGUACUAUAUGCACAGUGCCUAAGAUGUCUUUUACCCAGAAACUGACUGAACUCGACACUGCUCUUUUGGGAACUCAUCUGGUACUACUAAAAUGAAAAGAAAUAGGACAAGACACAUGGCGUAGUCUCACCAAAAAGACUGUAGCAUUGUAAUGUCCUGGUGGUUUUUUGAACUUCAUGUAACCUAUGAUUGUUUUAUACAUUUUUCAUCUUUUUAUUCUGCAGAAGCUUUUACUUUUGUUCGAUUUCAUUCUUUUUAGUUUCUCCUGCUUGAGAUUAUAGAACAAUCUGAGAGGAAACAGUUCUGCAUGACAGGAACACAAAUUGCACAAGUUAAAUACAACCUUGAUGUAACAUCAUCCCUCGGAUUUCAGACACCUUACAGAGACUGAUGUCAUUUAAGCACAAGAAAGAAGCCAAAACCAUAAAGAAGAUCAAUAAACAAAGUACAGCUUCAAGUGCAAAUUGUUCAAAAUGAAAUAGUACAGCAGAGAAGUGAAGGCAAGAGACAUUUUUGGAAGACAUAUACAAUUGGAUCGUAAGAUCCUGCUUGGUAGGUCAGACCAGUGGGCCCACUAGCUGUUUCCAGUAAAGGAAUAUUUCAUAUUGUGGAGGAAGACAACCCUCUCUGUCCACUCCAUUCAUCUAAUCAGCAGCGUAAACUGCCAGAAUGAGACCUUUCAUGACCCCUCCAUUUAUGCUCUGAAGCAUGAGUUUUGAUUUCCCAUAUGUUAUUCUGAAUAACAUUGCUGGUAAUAAAAGUCUGCUUUUUUUACA